This 47-nucleotide non-coding RNA is filed under the name unclassified sequences. Its description in RNAcentral is "SAM-SAH-Weickhmann-2018 RNA". It matches the Rfam family "SAM/SAH riboswitch aptamer". The record is from RNAcentral.
ACCACCACAACGGCUUCCUGGCGUGGUCGGUCAACCCCAAUGGAGCA